ACAAUGGCAGGUACANAGGGGUGCUACCGGGUGACCGGAUGCCGAUCUCGAAAACCUGUCCCAGUUCGGACUGGAGUCUGCAACCCGACUCCACGAAGUUGGAUUCGCUAGUAAUCGCGCAUCAGCCAUGGCGCGGUGAAUACGUUCCCGGGCCUUGUACACACCGCCCGUCAAGCCAUGGGAGCCGGGGGCGCCUGAAGUCCGGGACCGCGAGGACCGGCCUAAGGCGAAACUGGUGACUGGGGCUAAGUCGUAACAAGGUACC
RNAcentral lists this ribosomal RNA (265 nucleotides) under uncultured bacterium. RNAcentral's name for it is "partial 16S ribosomal RNA". It matches the Rfam family "Bacterial small subunit ribosomal RNA", at positions 1227 to 1500 of the family's 1533-position model. The record is from RNAcentral.